UUUUUUUUUUUUUUUUUUUUGGUAAACUUUAAAUGCCAUCCGGUGGUUUCGCACUUUUUUUAUUAUAAUACCUUAUAGUUUAAAGUGUAUCAAUUUAGUACUUUAUAAUUUUAUUUUUCUCUUUUUGUCGACUUCUCCGUUAACAUUUCGUUAAAUUAUAUAUAAAAAACUUUAGAUACUCUAUUUAGAUUUAUCGCAUAUUCACUUUAGUAACUUUUCGUUUUAAUUUUGUCACUGAUUUAAUAAAAAAAAAACUAGUGGAUGAGAUAAUAAAAAGAAAAAAAAAGGAACCAUAGGAUACUAAAUUGAUACAUUUUAAACCACAUGGUAUUAAAAUAAAAAAGUGCGAAACCAUAGGAGUGAUAUUUUGAAAUUUUAAAUUUUUUUUUUUUUUUUCCUCCC
Molecule: long non-coding RNA, 402 nt
Filed under: Ananas comosus (pineapple)
Lineage: Eukaryota; Viridiplantae; Streptophyta; Magnoliopsida; Poales; Bromeliaceae
Description: long non-coding RNA (ACOM_LNC010057)
Source: RNAcentral